GAGUUUGAUCAUGGCUCAGAACGUACGCUGGCGGCACGCCUAACACAUGCAAGUCGAACGAAGUAGCAAUACUUAGUGGCAGACGGGUGAGUAACAUGUAGGUAUCUGCCCUUUGGCCUGGAAUAACACGAGGAAACUUGUGCUAAUACCGGAUAAGUCUUUACGGAGAAAGCUUUAUGCACCAUUGGAUGAGCCUGCACUUGAUUAGUUUGUUGGUGGGGUAAUGGCCUACCAAGACUGUGAUCAAUAGCUGAUUUGAGAGGAUGAUCAGCCACAUUGGGACUGAGACACGGCCCAAACUCCUACGGGAGGCAGCAGUGGGGAAUCUUGCACAAUGGAGGAAACUCUGAUGCAGCGAUGCCGCGUGAGUGAAGAAGGCCCUUGGGUUGUAAAGCUCUUUCGUCGGGGAAGAAAAUGACUGUACCCGAAUAAGAAGGUCCGGCUAACUUCGUGCCAGCAGCCGCGGUAAUACGAAGGGACCUAGCGUAGUUCGGAAUUACUGGGCUUAAAGAGUUCGUAGGUGGUUGAAAAAGUUAGUGGUGAAAUCCCAGAGCUUAACUCUGGAACUGCCAUUAAAACUUUUCAGCUAGAGUAUGAUAGAGGAAAGCAGAAUUUCUAGUGUAGAGGUGAAAUUCGUAGAUAUUAGAAAGAAUACCAAUUGCGAAGGCAGCUUUCUGGAUCAUUACUGACACUGAGGAACGAAAGCAUGGGUAGCGAAGAGGAUUAGAUACCCUCGUAGUCCAUGCCGUAAACGAUGUGUGUUAGACGUUGGAAAUUUAUUUUCAGUGUCGCAGCGAAAGCGAUAAACACACCGCCUGGGGAGUACGACCGCAAGGUUAAAACUCAAAUGAAUUGACGGGGACCCGCACAAGUAGUGGAGCAUGUGGUUUAAUUCGAAGAUACGCGCAGAACCUUACCAACACUUGACAUGUUCGUCGCGACUCUAAGAGAUUAGAGUUUUCGGUUCGGCCGGACGAAACACAGGUGCUGCAUGGCUGUCGUCAGCUCGUGUCGUGAGAUGUUGGGUUAAGUCCCGCAACGAGCGCAACCCUCACUUUUAGUUGCCAUCAUUAAGUUGGGCACUCUGAAAGAACUGCCAGUGAUAAGCUGGAGGAAGGUGGGGAUGACGUCAAGUCCUCAUGGCCCUUACGUGUUGGGCUACACACGUGCUACAAUGGUAUCUACAACAGGAAGCAAGACCGCGAAGUUAAGCAAAUCCCGAAAAGAUACCUCAGUUCGGAUUGCACUCUGCAACUCGAGUGCAUGAAGCUGGAAUUACUAGUAAUCGUAGAUCAGCGUGCUACGGUGAAUGCGUUCCCGGGUCUUGUACACACCGCCCGUCACACCAUGGGAGUUGGUUCUACCUUAAGGCAAGGUUUCAAACCCUUGACCACGGUAUAGUCAGCGACUGGGGUGAAGUCGUAACAAGGUAACC
RNAcentral lists this ribosomal RNA (1435 nucleotides) under uncultured marine bacterium. Its description in RNAcentral is "bacterial SSU rRNA". It matches the Rfam family "Bacterial small subunit ribosomal RNA". The record is from RNAcentral.